Molecule: ribosomal RNA, 201 nt
Filed under: uncultured bacterium
Lineage: Bacteria
Description: partial 16S ribosomal RNA
Rfam family: Bacterial small subunit ribosomal RNA
Source: RNAcentral
UACGAAGGGGGCUAGUGUUGUUCGGAAUCACUGGGCGUAAAGGGCGCGUAGGCGGCUUGACUAAGUCGGGGGUGAAAGCCUGUGGCUCAACCGACAGGAAUUGCCCUUCGAGUACUGUCGAGCUUGAGACCGGAAGAGGUAAGUGGAACUGCGAGUGUAGAGGUGAAAUUCGUAGAUAUUCGGCAAGAACACCAGUGGCGA